UGAAUACGAGAUGCUACGGCGUCGAAGCAGUGUAUGUCAGACUUCCAAGAAAAGCUCGCAAUGUCAUAAAUAAAGAAUGCCUGUACCAUAACCGACACAGGUGGGUAGGUAGAGUAUACUAAGGGGCGCGAGAUAACUCUCUCUAAGGAACUCGGCAAAAUAACUCCGUAACUUCGGGAGAAGGAGUGCCUUCUUUAAGAAGGUUGCAAUAACAAGAUCCAAGCAACUGUUUAUCAAAAACACAGGUCUCCGCUAAGUCGUAAGACGAUGUAUGGGGGCUGACGCCUGCCCAGUGCCAGAAGGUUAAAGAAGUUGGUUAGCUUUUGCGAAGCUGAUGACUGAAGCCCUGGUGAACGGCGGCCGUAACGAUAACGGUCCUAAGGUAGCGAAAUUCCUUGUCGGGUAAGUUCCGACCCGCACGAAAGGCGUAAUGAUUUGGAUACUGUCUCGGAGAGGGACUCGGUGAAAUAGACUUGUCUGUGAAGAUGCGGACUACCUGCACCAGGACAGAAAGACCCUAUGAAGCUUUACUGUAACUUGAAAUUGAAAUUGGACUUUAUUUGCGCAGUAUAGGUGGAAGGCGUUGAAAGUAAUCUUGCGGGAUUAGUGGAGCCAUCAGUGAGAUACCACUCCUAUAAUGUUAGAUUUCUAACUUUGGAUCAUGAUCUGGUCAAAGAACAGUUUCAGGCGGGCAGUUUGACUGGGGCGGUCGCCUCCCAAAUGGUAACGGAGGCGUACAAAGGUUUCCUCUGAACGGGUAGAAAUCGUAUCUAGAGUGUAAAGGCAUAAGGAAGCUUGACUGUGAGACCUACAAGUCGAGCAGGGACGAAAGUCGGUCUUAGUGAUCUGACGGUGCUGAGUGGAAAGGCCGUCACUCAACGGAUAAAAGUUACUCUAAGGAUAACAGGCUGAUCUCCCCCAAGAGUUCACAUCGACGGGGAGGUUUGGCACCUCGAUGUCGGCUCAUCGCAUCCUGGGGCCGGUAGUACGUCCCAAGGGUUGGGCUGUUUCCCCAUGAAAGCGGUACGCGAGCUGGGUUCAGAACGUCGUGAGACAGUUCGGUCCAUAUCCGGUGUAGGCGUUAGAAUAUUGAGAGGAGCCUUCUUUAGUACGAGAGGACCGAGAAGGACAUACCUCUGGUGUACCAGUUAUCGUGCCAACGGUAAACGCUGGGUAGCUAUGUAUGGAGAGGAUAACCGCUGAAAGCAUCUAAGUGGGAAGCCCACCUCAAGAUGAG
RNAcentral lists this ribosomal RNA (1237 nucleotides) under metagenome. RNAcentral describes it as "bacterial LSU rRNA". It matches the Rfam family "Bacterial large subunit ribosomal RNA", at positions 1564 to 2808 of the family's 2925-position model. The record is from RNAcentral.